This 253-nucleotide ribosomal RNA is filed under the name uncultured bacterium. Its description in RNAcentral is "partial 16S ribosomal RNA". It matches the Rfam family "Bacterial small subunit ribosomal RNA", at positions 524 to 776 of the family's 1533-position model. The record is from RNAcentral.
UACGUAGGGUGCGAGCGUUAAUCGGAAUUACUGGGCGUAAAGCGUGCGCAGGCGGUUGUACAAGACAGGUGUGAAAUCCCCGGGCUUAACCUGGGAACUGCGUUUGAAACUGGGGAGCUAGAGUGUAGAAGAGGGGGGUGGAAUUCCAGGUGUAGCAGUGAAAUGCGUAGAGAUCUGGAGGAACACCGAUGGCGAAGGCAGCCCCCUGGGCUAACACUGACGCUCAUGCACGAAAGCGUGGGGAGCAAACAGG